AACGAACGCUGGCGGCAGGCCUAACACAUGCAAGUCGAGCGAGGACUUCGGUUCUAGCGGCGGACGGGUGAGUAUCGCGUGGGAAUGUGCCCUUCUCUACGGAAUAGCCCUGGGAAACUGGGAGUAAUACCGUAUACGCCCUUUUGGGGAAAGAUUUAUCGGAGAAGGAUCAGCCCGCGUUGGAUUAGGUAGUUGGUGGGGUAAUGGCCUACCAAGCCGACGAUCCAUAGCUGGUUUGAGAGGAUGAUCAGCCACACUGGGACUGAGACACGGCCCAGACUCCUACGGGAGGCAGCAGUGGGGAAUCUUAGACAAUGGGGGCAACCCUGAUCUAGCCAUGCCGCGUGAGUGAUGAAGGCCUUAGGGUUGUAAAGCUCUUUCAGCUGGGAAGAUAAUGACGGUACCAGCAGAAGAAGCCCCGGCUAACUCCGUG
RNAcentral lists this ribosomal RNA (433 nucleotides) under uncultured bacterium. Its description in RNAcentral is "partial 16S ribosomal RNA". It matches the Rfam family "Bacterial small subunit ribosomal RNA", at positions 29 to 507 of the family's 1533-position model. The record is from RNAcentral.